RNAcentral lists this transfer RNA (77 nucleotides) under Firmicutes bacterium CAG:552. Its description in RNAcentral is "transfer RNA-His(GTG)". It matches the Rfam family "tRNA". From Rfam's summary of the family: Transfer RNA (tRNA) molecules are approximately 80 nucleotides in length. Their secondary structure includes four short double-helical elements and three loops (D, anti-codon, and T loops). Further hydrogen bonds mediate the characteristic L-shaped molecular structure. tRNAs have two regions of fundamental functional importance: the anti-codon, which is responsible for specific mRNA codon recognition, and the 3' end, to which the tRNAs corresponding amino acid is attached (by aminoacyl-tRNA synthetases). tRNAs cope with the degeneracy of the genetic code in two manners: having more than one tRNA (with a specific anti-codon) for a particular amino acid; and 'wobble' base-pairing, i.e. permitting non-standard base-pairing at the 3rd anti-codon position. RNAcentral also lists the same sequence under 4 other names. Lineage: Bacteria; Bacillati; Bacillota. The record is from RNAcentral.
GUGGGUAUAGCUCAGCUGGUUAGAGCGCCAGAUUGUGGCUCUGGAGGCCAAGAGUUCGAAUCUCUUUACUCACCCCA